This 429-nucleotide long non-coding RNA is filed under the name Pan troglodytes (chimpanzee). Its description in RNAcentral is "long non-coding RNA NONPTRT004490". The record is from RNAcentral. Lineage: Eukaryota; Metazoa; Chordata; Mammalia; Primates; Hominidae.
GAAAAACAUAUUCAAGGGGAAGAGAUGUAAUAGUUUUGACGUGACGACAGUUACUAAAGAAGCACCUGAACAGACACAUCACCUUCACUUUGGGAUGUGGAAUUUGCUAAGUAAGCCACAGAAAAUGAACAUCCCUUCAGAAUGGGUUUGAAGAGCUGAUCCAGUGGAUUAAAGAGGGGAAACUGGGAGUUCCCAAUUAACAAUGAAGCAGGAGCUGACUAAGGCUUUGAAACAGAAACCAGAUGAUGCACAAUAUUAUUGUCAAAGAGCUUAUUGUCACAUUCUUCUUGGGAAUUACUGUGUUGCUGUUGCCAACACAAAGAAGUCUUGUGAACUCAAUCCAAAUAAUUCCACUGCUAUGCUGAGAAAAGGGUAUUCAAUAGCUACUCUUUUUGUUGAGCUUGGACUGUAAAUGGUAGAUGUUUAAUU